UUAAAGGCUGUGAUUAAAAGGAGUAGACCGCAAAUUAUUUUCAGAGAGCCUGUGUUCGGUGUAAACAGGUAUUGAUUACGGUUGAAUGUAGUUUAUGAGCCCGCAUUGCGAAAUUAAGUAGUUGUGCGCGUAUAUCUGCGUUAAAGAUUUGAGCGGUCGCAUCAUUUAUGCGGCAAUUUGAGUGGUAACACGGUUAUUUAUACCGCCUCAUUG
Molecule: non-coding RNA, 213 nt
Filed under: Clostridiales bacterium
Lineage: Bacteria; Bacillati; Bacillota; Clostridia; Eubacteriales
Description: T-box sequence
Rfam family: T-box leader
About the family: Uncharged tRNA acts as the effector for transcription antitermination of genes in the T-box leader family. T-boxes are found upstream of many aminoacyl-tRNA synthetase genes and some amino acid biosynthetic genes usually in Gram-positive bacteria.
Source: RNAcentral